Molecule: small nuclear RNA, 107 nt
Organism: Microtus oregoni (creeping vole)
Lineage: Eukaryota; Metazoa; Chordata; Mammalia; Rodentia; Cricetidae
Source: RefSeq, a predicted model, not a curated record
GUGCUCACUUCAGAAGCACAUAUACUAAAAUUGAAAUGAUACAGAGAAGAUUAGCAUGGCCCCUGCGCAAGGAUAACAUGCAAAUUCGUGACACGUUAAAAAAAAAC